AGAGUUUGAUCCUGGCUCAGAACGAACGCUGGCGGCAGGCCUAACACAUGCAAGUCGAGCGCGCCUUUCGGGUGAGCGGCGGACGGGUUAGUAACGCGUGGGAACGUGCCCAUAUCUACGGAAUAGCCUCUGGAAACGGUGAGUAAUACCGUAUACGCCCUUUGGGGGAAAGAUUUAUCGGAGAAGGAUCGGCCCGCGUUAGAUUAGGUAGUUGGUGGGGUAAUGGCCUACCAAGCCUACGAUCUAUAGCUGGUUUUAGAGGAUGAUCAGCAACACUGGGACUGAGACACGGCCCAGACUCCUACGGGAGGCAGCAGUGGGGAAUCUUAGACAAUGGGGGCAACCCUGAUCUAGCCAUGCCGCGUGAGUGAUGAAGGCCUUAGGGUCGUAAAGCUCUUUCGCCUGUGAUGAUAAUGACAGUAGCAGGUAAAGAAACCCCGGCUAACUCCGUGCCAGCAGCCGCGGUAAUACGGAGGGGGUUAGCGUUGUUCGGAAUUACUGGGCGUAAAGCGCGCGUAGGCGGAUUAGAAAGUUGGGGGUGAAAUCCCGAGGCUCAACCCCGGAACUGCCUCCAAAACUGCUAGUCUAGAGUUCGAGAGAGGUGAGUGGAAUUCCGAGUGUAGAGGUGAAAUUCGUAGAUAUUCGGAGGAACACCAGUGGCGAAGGCGGCUCACUGGCUCGAUACUGACGCUGAGGUGCGAAAGUGUGGGGAGCAAACAGGAUUAGAUACCCUGGUAGUCCACACCGUAAACGAUGAAUGCCAGUCGUCGGAUAGUAUACUAUUCGGUGACACACCUAACGGAUUAAGCAUUCCGCCUGGGGAGUACGGUCGCAAGAUUAAAACUCAAAGGAAUUGACGG
This 860-nucleotide ribosomal RNA is filed under the name uncultured marine bacterium. Its description in RNAcentral is "bacterial SSU rRNA". It matches the Rfam family "Bacterial small subunit ribosomal RNA", at positions 8 to 916 of the family's 1533-position model. The record is from RNAcentral.